This 496-nucleotide ribosomal RNA is filed under the name uncultured bacterium. RNAcentral describes it as "partial 16S ribosomal RNA". It matches the Rfam family "Bacterial small subunit ribosomal RNA", at positions 28 to 506 of the family's 1533-position model. The record is from RNAcentral.
GAUGAACGCUGGCGGCGUGCCUAAUACAUGCAAGUCGAGCGAACAGACGAGGAGCUUGCUCCUCUGACGUUAGCGGCGGACGGGUGAGUAACACGUGGAUAACCUACCUAUAAGACUGGGAUAACUUCGGGAAACCGGAGCUAAUACCGGAUAAUAUAUUGAACCGCAUGGUUCAAUAGUGAAAGACGGUUUUGCUGUCACUUAUAGAUGGCUCCGCGCCGCAUUAGCUAGUUGGUAAGGUAACGGCUUACCAAGGCAACGAUGCGUAGCCGACCUGAGAGGGUGAUCGGCCACACUGGAACUGAGACACGGUCCAGACUCCUACGGGAGGCAGCAGUAGGGAAUCUUCCGCAAUGGGCGAAAGCCUGACGGAGCAACGCCGCGUGAGUGAUGAAGGUCUUCGGAUCGUAAAACUCUGUUAUUAGGGAAGAACAAAUGUGUAAGUAACUAUGCACGUCUUGACGGUACCUAAUCAGAAAGCCACGGCUAACUACGU